This 254-nucleotide ribosomal RNA is filed under the name uncultured bacterium. Its description in RNAcentral is "partial 16S ribosomal RNA". It matches the Rfam family "Bacterial small subunit ribosomal RNA", at positions 524 to 777 of the family's 1533-position model. The record is from RNAcentral.
UACGUAGGGGGCAAGCGUUGUCCGGAUUUAUUGGGCGUAAAGCGCACGUAGGCGGCUUUUCAAGUCGGAUGUGAAAUCCCUCGGCUUAACCAAGGAAGUGCAUCCGAAACUGGAAGGCUUGAGUACUUAAGAGGAUCGCGGAAUUCCCGGUGUAGAGGUGAAAUUCGUAGAUAUCGGGAGGAACACCAGUGGCGAAGGCGGCGAUCUGGGAAGAUACUGACGCUGAGGUGCGAAAGCGUGGGGAGCAAACAGGG